This is an RNA transcript of Tyto alba (common barn owl), 5747 nucleotides long. It is a transcript of the gene named coiled-coil domain containing 18, with no coding region annotated. Lineage: Eukaryota; Metazoa; Chordata; Aves; Strigiformes; Tytonidae. The record is from RefSeq and is a predicted model, not a curated record. The transcript has 26 exons.
CGGGCCCGUGGUUAGCUCUGCCGGUCGGGCGCUCCCCGCUGGAGCGGCGGCGGCUGCGGGCGGUGCGCAUGCGCCCUAGAGGCUACGCGAAGGCCGGGCCUCACGGCCCGCGGUGUUUGAAGCGGGGUGAGGGCCGCGGAUCGCGCGGAGUGGGAUUCCCCGAGGGGGCUCCGGGGUGUUGGGCCAUAUGUGUGGUACCGGUGAAAUACAGUAUGUGGACUUGCCCUGAGAGUGCUGCUGCUGAAGACCUGUUUGCAAAUUUACAGUCAUUACAGAAUCAGCUGAGGAGAACAGAAAAGCACCUACAAACUGUAGAGGAAGAGCUUUCCAGCACUAAUAUAAGUGAACAUUAUGGCCGCUGCUUCGAUGAGGCUAUAGACUUCACCCUGGAACACCUUGUUCAGCCUAAUUGCAACUCUCAAGGCUUUUCUAACUGUGAGAAGAAUGCUGGUAAAACAUCUUGCCAGGAUUCUCAAAGAAAAUCUCAAUCUUACUCAGUAUCCACAACUUCUGAUAAAACUGCGGAAGAAAAUGGACGUCUUCAGGAGAAGGUGGAUGCCCUUCAUGAGCAAAAUGCAUCUUUGAUUUCUCAGAACUACUACCUCAAGAGCAGAGUGGAAACAAUGAACUUUGAAUUGAUGCAGUCAAAAACGAGAAUUUCUUACCUUGAAUCUACUUUAGGUACGCAUUUAGUCUGUAUUCCUAAGUUGAAAGAACAGAUUGUAAACUUGGAGGCAGAAGUUUCAGCUCAAGAUAAAAUUGUGAGAGAUACAGAAGAUAAACUAGAUCAAAGCCGGAAAACAGAAAUGGAAAGAGAAAACAUGUUGCAAAGAUAUAAAAAGGACUAUAAAAAUCUGAAAACAGAGUUAAUUGAAAGAAGCAAGCAAGGAAAGAGAGCAGAACAGCAAAGAGAUGAAGCUUUGUUGAACGUGGAGGACCUGACAAGAGCUUUCAAAAAGUAUAAAGAGAAAAUAACUGAAAAAUUAGAAAAGGUGAAAGCUGAAGUAGUAGUCUUGGGAAAAUGCUUAAUUAAUUGUGAAAAAGAAAAAAAGAAGUUGAAUCAAGAAUGUGUCAGCUACAGAAAGGAUCUAGACAUCCUAGAAGAGCAAUUAAGGCAAUUAAAGGAAGAGAAUCAUUGCACAAAAGGAGAAAUUAAGGCUCUAGAGGCAAAGAAUACUGAAAUGUUAUCAAGGCUGACUCAGUCUGAUCAGAAGAUCAUUGAGCUUGAGAGUGAACUUUGUGAAAAAGAAAUAAUGCUUAAAGAGAAAAAUGCUCUAAUAAGUGAAAAUGCAGAGCUGAGAGCACUUACUGUACAGCAACAUAACAGCUUGAAAUUAUGCCAUCAAAAAAUUGAAGACUCAAGGGAAGAGCUUAACAUACUAGAAACCAUUAUUUCCCAGUUGUCUCCAAGUACAUCUGAAGAGUUUAAAUGGCACCACUUGAAACACCAGAUAUCCAGUUCCUCAACAAAAGAAGCUCUCCGUGAAUCUUGUUGUGAAUUGAAUAAACCUUUGAUUGCAGACCUAAGCAUUAAACUGGGAAUGAAAGAAGCAGAAAUUAACAAACCUCAUGCAAACUUAACUAUCUGUAUUGGAGCUGAGCAUCUUUCUAAUAACAGUGAACAAGAAAAUAGCAGGUUACAUGGCCUGGAAACAGAGCCUGUCAAAUUGAUCAGAAGUCACGGAGAGAGGGAAAAAUGUCAACAGCUAGAACUUAUCAGCAAACAAUUUGAAAAGGAGAGGCAAAGAUUCCAGAAACAGAUAGAAGAGUUACACACUAAACUGACAGAAGCAGAUGAUGAGAAUUCUUCUUUGAAGACCAGCAUGGCUCAGAGAGCCAGUCAGUUCCAAAUCAUACAGGAAGACCUAUUGAAGAAGGUUUCAAAAACUACUGGUUUAAAGAGAGAAAUAACAAAGAAAUCUUCUCAACUUUCUGCACUUGAGAAACAGUUGGAAGAAAAGACUAUUGCUUAUUCUGCUGCUGCAGCAAGAAACACUGAGUUGGAACAGGAACUCAUGGGGAAAAACAGACGCAUUCAUGAGUUGGAAACAACUAACAGUGAAGAACAUAAGCAGAUAAUUUCUGCGUUUGAAAAAUCAAAGUUGGUUCACCUUGAGCAGCACAAAGAGAUGGAGAAACAGAUUGAACUACUUCAGACACAACUGGAGAAGAAACAGCAACAAUUAAUCAAACAAGAGAAAAUCAUAUCUAUUUUGCAACAAGAUGUUAUACAUAAACAGCACCACAUUGAAUCAUUGGAUGGGCUGCUGAUAGAAAGCAGAGAGGAAAUGGAAAAUGAAAAUGUCAAGAAAGAUCAAGGAUUGAAGAUGCUGAAAAGUCAGUUAACAGAAGAAACAUUCAAAGUGAGACAACUUGAGUCAGCACUAGAUGUAUGUAAGGAAGAAGUUGCACUAUAUUUGAGUCAAUCACAAGAAAAUAAGGAGAUAUUUGAAAAUCAGCUUAAAAAAAGGUCUGAAGAGGUUCGUUACUUACAGAAAGAAAUAAAAGUAAAAGAUCAGAAUAUUCAGGACACAAGUGAACAAAAUAUUCUCCUACAACAAACUUUGCAUCAUCAUCAGCAAAUGUUACAGCAAGAAACUAUUAGAAAUGGGGAGCUGGAAGAUAAUCAAAAUCAACUUGAGAAACAGGUAUCAAAUUUGGAACAAGAGCUUCAGAAGCGGAAAGCAUAUGCAGAAGAUGAAUUGAGAAAAGUAGAGGAGAAACUUUGCCUCACUGCUCAGGAAGCAGAUUUAAACAGACAGAAGGUGGAUGAACUUAAUAGUACAAUCAGCCAAAUGAAAUUGGAGAUGGAUCAAUACAAGAAUGAACUUACUGGUAUGGAAAAAGAAGUAGUGCAAUUAAAACAAGAUGAUGAAAGCAAAGCAAUGCGGAUAAGUCGGUUGGAUAUUACUUUGGAAGAAGUACGAUCAGAGCUCAUUGAAAAGUCAAAUAAGGUGUAUGAUUUAGAAGAUAAGCUGCUUCAGAGUGAGACCUACCACAGGGAAGCCUUACAGAAAAUAGUAGAAUUAGAAUCUUCAUUACAGAAUGCCCAUGGAGAAUUAAAACUCACUUUAACACAGCUUCAAGAAUUGCAAGAUGCAUUAGAGAAUGCACAGUCUUCUCUGGAGGAGAAGCACGUUGUUAUCAUGGAUCUAACAACUGAGCUCAGGUACUGCAAGGGUGAAAUUGAAGACAAAAACCAAGAACUCCUUGACAUGAACCAAGCACUGAAAGAAAGGAAUUGGGAACUGAAACAAAGAGCAGCUCAGAUUACACAGUUGGAUAUGACAGUUCGUGAACACAGGGGAGAAAUGGAACAACAAAUAAUUCGAUUGGAGUGCAAUUUAGAGAAGUCAGAGUUAGAAAUUAACGAAUACAAUAAACAGAUUGAGAGUUUAGAGAAGAAACUCCAGCAUUCUAAAGAUGAGCUUCGUGAAAAAGAGUUUGAAUUACUCCAGAGAGAUCAAGAAAUAAAUCAGUUGAAGAAAAAAAUUGAAAGAAAAUAACGCAGCCUAGAGCUCUUGAAAAGGACUUUGGGAAUGAUUCUGAAGGAAAGGAUUUAUUAGCUAGCCCCUGUGCAAAUGCCAACUGGACCCUUCCUUUUCAGAAAAAUUGCCUUGUUAUUACUUCUGCUAAGGAAUACCAGGGGCAGGAGCUGUGAAGAGUGGCAUGUUGACCAUUGGACAAGCAGCAACCCAGGAAUGCUGUUGCUGGCAUCAUAUUCGUGCAUGCAAAGACAAAAUUUUACCCUUGUAUUUGUAAAUAAGGAAUGUGGUUAUUUGUACUGACACAAAUUACAACCUUUUUAUUUUUCCAACUGUUUUUGAGAUUAUUGCCUUGAUAUAAAAACAUCUUGAUAUAUUUUUGAGAAAUAAAUCCCAUUUUUUAAGUAUCUUGAGUUACAGGAAUUACUGCUGUUAUUUUUUUUCCAAGGAUUUGAAACAGUUUACUUGUGUUUCACAUCUAACUUAACAAUUUUUGUUUGGGAAUACUUUAUUUCCUUUUUUUUUGCUACAUGUACAGUGUUGCAGACACAAUGUCUUACUAAAAUCGACCUGUUUAUAAGAUGUUUUUGGACACUGAUUUGAUCAUAGACACUGGGAAAACCUGCUUGCUUUAUUUGAAGCAGUGUCUUUCAGAUGCAAAGGGGUGUGGGACAGGGCCAUAAAGCUUAAUUGUUUUUUCCUCCAAACCAAAAUGCACACAAAAAUUACCAUUGAUUAAAAUGGCAUCAUAAUUAUGCCUUCUAAAACAUACUUAUUUGCAAUUUUCAAAAAUAUUAAGCAAUUUAGCUAGUACAAAUGACUAGUGGCAUCAGUUUCUAACACUUCUGUAUUUACAUAAGUGUCGGAAGCUGCCAAUAUGGUUAUGAGGCCUAAAUCUUAGUCUGAUGAAUGCAAAAAUGAUUUAUGUGCAUUAAGACGUGUGAUUAGUGCUUCAGAAAAUUAAGUAAAAUGAUUUGAUAUAAAGUAGAGAAACAGAAUUGAAUGUAUUGCGAUUUAAAGGGUAGGUCUAAGUUAAUUGUUUUGUGUAUUAAAAGUGUAUCUUGGCCAGGAAAUGUGUUUGCUGUGUUUCAGCCACUCUGCAGGUGGAAGUGCUAAACAACUUGGGUUGUAGGUCUUUCACUGUUUAUGCAAACAUGUUAUAGAAAUGCAACCGUUGUACUUUAAGUGGUUAUACAAAACCAGGCAUACAUUUUUCUACUAUUGUCAAGGUCAAGAUACAGUCAUCUAAAGUACUUCUGCACGUUCAGAUUCUUUAUUUUGUUAUUAUCAAAAUAAUGAUGUGGCAAAAAAAUACCGUUUACUUAUGGAAAUAAAUGUAUUGUGUGUGUUAAAUCAAGCUAUUUGUUUUCUACAUAACAGUAAAUGAAAAACAUUGUAUUUAGAUUGACCAGUGUAAUAAUUGAAAAAUAUUAAACUACUUUAAUUUUUUUUUUCCUCUCCUUAGGCAGAUCAGUUUGCCUUCAGGAUAGAAAUCUGUGCAUCAGAUUUCAGACAGAAUCUUUUAAAGCCAAGGUCCUUCAAACAAGGAUUUCAAGUGGAAAAUCUAACCAAUCUGUAAUUACAGUUGCAUCACAACACUAGUGGAAUUCCACUGAUGUAGUGUUGCAUAAAGCCUCGCUUGCUCCUCCUACAUGCACUAAAUAUAAAUGUGCAUGAGCAGCAAAAGCAAUUUGCCUAGUUUCUGAAUCAGCUAAAUAGCAUUUGCACUAAAACUGUGUAUCUGGAUACUAAGUUCUCUAGUAAAACUGUGGGUCAAACUUGCUAAAUAGGUAGAAUCAUAAUUAUGUUUUCUCUAACUUUAGAUGCUGUCUUGCUAUUUUGUUGCUUGCCACAGAAGUUAAUGAUUCCACUUGCUAUACUGUUCAAGUGAAUUUAUUUGUUUUGGAAAGGAGGGACGUAUUUUUUCCCUAACAAUCUCAGUUAAAUGUUUUUGUAGAGUCAUACUUGUCUUGAGUUACUAACCAAUUUAUAUCUAUGCAAAUCCUGAAACAGUGAGUCCAUUCUUCUGACCUGCAUUGCAUUAACAUGGGCUUAUUGAAUCUUGGAAAACAUUUUUCUGUGUAUAACGACAUUGCAAUUAGCUGAAUGCUGGUAAGAAGGUUAAUUGCUUAUUAAGGUGAUUCUUUUUCUGUCACUCAGGAUGGGUUAUAAAUUUCACAGGAGACUGAUUUCCUUUCUAUAUGUAGUAUGCCUACAGUUACUGUAUGUUAAACAUGAAUUGCAUCAAAUUGCUGGUCUAAA